This is a long non-coding RNA of Portunus trituberculatus (swimming crab), 1794 nucleotides long. RefSeq lists it as uncharacterized. The transcript is spliced from 3 exons. NCBI's taxonomy places the organism in Eukaryota, Metazoa, Arthropoda, Malacostraca, Decapoda, Portunidae. The record is from RefSeq and is a predicted model, not a curated record.
UUGGGAUGUACAUGAAGCUCCUGUUGAAGAGAAUUACAUUACUACAUGGAUUUGUUGCUGAUUUUAUGUUGUAGCUUGUUAAUCUAUAGAAAAGCCAUCAAGGCUCUUCACUAAUGGUAGUACUGAACUGUACUGAAAUUAUCUACGACUGGGAGGGAGACAGCAAGUUUGAGAAGACACAGAACACAUAGUAGAUGGCAGUACUGAAAAGGAAGAAAAGAAUGAGAACCUAUGAUAUGAUAGAAAACAGAUCAGGUCUUAAGAAUAGAAGAGGUCAGGAGUAACACUCAGCCACCUGUGGGACUCACUUGAUGACCCCACAAUGCCACCAAUACUGCACCACUGCAUUUUCCUGGAGGCUUUUCAGUAGCAAGAUCUCCAAAGUGUUAUGAUUACCAUAAUUUUGGCCAGUCAGUAUCUGUGUCACAAUGUAAGAUUCAAUCCGCAGUGAAAACAGGAGGAAUAUUUUUGGAAGGAGAAAAUGUUAGCAUUAGAUAUUGAAGGAAAGCCCAGAAGGCAAACAUCAGACAGGAUUUAUCUUCACCACAAAGGUGAUGAUUAUAUAAAGGUAUAAAUCCCAUGUCUUCGUCAUACCUUUACAUAAAUUUUGCCUAAAUACCUAUUAUUAGUAAUUUUAAGGUUUCAAUCAAUCGAUCAAUCAAUCAUGGGGGGGAGGGAUACGCCUACCCUGUGGCACCACUCCAGGUGGUCAUGCCUCACGAGUCUCCAUGCAGGCUCCCUUCCUGUGCCAAAUAACUCCCAGCAAGAGGCAUUGACUUGCCACAGCCGUAAGUUCUGUGGAUGUCCCCUUGGCCUCCUCCAUGCUGGUUAUACUUUUCGGAGACAACCUGAUAUGCAGGAUCAGCUUCCAGGUAGCAUGCCACAUGCCCAUAUAGUCGCAGUUGACGUUGACGGACUGUGCUAGUAAUCGGCCUUGAAUCAGUCUCACGGGGCAAUUUGACAAAGUCAUGAUCCUGUAAAGGCAUCUAGUACCAAAAACAAAAAUUCGCCUCUUCAGAUUGGUGUUCAGUGUCCAUGUCUCACAACCAUAGAACAAGACAGGGAUCACCAGCAACUUAAAAGAUCUGAAACUUUGUCUGUCUGCACAGGUACCAACAACGCCAAAUACUCAUGUUGAGCAAGUCCAUAACGCUGUGGACCAGGCCAAUCAGCCAUACAACUUCCUGGCUCGACUCACCGUUGUUAUGCACUACAGUACUAAGGAAGGUAUGUGAAGAUUUCCAAGGUCUCAUUGUCCUCACCACAUGCAUGGACAAACCGUAAUAGUAUUUCAUCCAGUAAACCUCCAAAUAUCUAAACCUUGGUCUUGGGCCAAGAUAUCUGGAGUCCCAAUGACUUGUUUCCUUGUGCAGUGCCUCUAGAGCCAUUAUCAGAACCUCCAGUGACUCAGCAAAGAUUACUGCAUCAUUGCACUGUAUCAUUGGCACAAACAAGAUCUAUAAUCUCAGUAUUGCUGACAGAUGCUCCACAAUGACUUUGGUCUACAAUUCGGCCUAGUACCCAUUCCAUGCAAAUGUUGAAAAAUGAUGGAGCAAGCAUGCAUCCCUGCCUCAUUUUCGUAUUCACAGGAAAGAAGCUGGACACGCCCCCUCCAUACUUCACUGCACUCACAGUCCCAGAGUAGAGGCCAGUUAAUAGACCAAUAAUCCUUGCAGGAAUCCCACGGAGGUGCAGAAGAUCCCAUAGUGUCUCUCGAUGUACUGAAUCAAAUGUCUUCUUGAGAUCAACAUAGGCUGCAAGCAUCCUUUAUUGAAACUCAUGUUGGUGCUCCAC